This 445-nucleotide ribosomal RNA is filed under the name uncultured bacterium. RNAcentral's name for it is "bacterial SSU rRNA". It matches the Rfam family "Bacterial small subunit ribosomal RNA", at positions 330 to 792 of the family's 1533-position model. The record is from RNAcentral.
GCCAGACUCCUACGGGAGGCAGCAGUGGGGAAUAUUGCACAAUGGGGGAAACCCUGAUGCAGCGACGCCGCGUGAGCGAUGAAGUAUUUCGGUAUGUAAAGCUCUAUCAGCAGGGAAGAAGAUGACGGUACCUGACUAAGAAGCCCCGGCUAACUACGUGCCAGCAGCCGCGGUAAUACGUAGGGGGCAAGCGUUAUCCGGAUUUACUGGGUGUAAAGGGAGCGUAGACGGCGGCGCAAGCCAGAUGUGAAAGCCCGGGGCUCAACUCCGGGACUGCUCUUGGAACUGCGCGGCUGGAGUGCAGGAGGGGCAGGCGGAAUUCCUGGUGUAGCGGUGAAAUGCGUAGAUAUCAGGAGGAACACCGGUGGCGAAGGCGGCCUGCUGGACUGCGACUGACGUUGAGGCCCGAAAGCGUGGGGAGCAAACAGGAUUAGAUACCCCGGUA